AUUGAACGCUGGCGGCAGGCCUAACACAUGCAAGUCGAGCGGAUGAAGGGAGCUUGCUCCUGGAUUCAGCGGCGGACGGGUGAGUAAUGCCUAGGAAUCUGCCUGGUAGUGGGGGCUAACGUCCGGAAACGGGCGCUAAUACCGCAUACGUCCUGAGGGAGAAAGUGAGGGAUCUUCGGACCUCACGCUAUCUGAUGAGCCUAGGUCGGAUUAGCUAGUUGGUGGGGUAAAGGCCUACCAAGGCGACGAUCCGUAACUGGUCUGAGAGGAUGAUCAGUCACACUGGAACUGAGACACGGUCCAGACUCCUACGGGAGGCAGCAGUGGGGAAUAUUGGACAAUGGGCGAAAGCCUGAUCCAGCCAUGCCGCGUGUGUGAAGAAGGUCUUCGGAUUGUAAAGCACUUUAAGUUGGGAGGAAGGGCAGUAAGUUAAUACCUUGCUGUUUUGACGUUACCAACAGAAUAAGCACCGGCUAACUUCGUG
Molecule: ribosomal RNA, 484 nt
Filed under: uncultured bacterium
Lineage: Bacteria
Description: partial 16S ribosomal RNA
Rfam family: Bacterial small subunit ribosomal RNA
Source: RNAcentral